GACAGAGGGUGCAAACGUUGUUCGGAAUUACUGGGCGUAAAGCGUGUGUAGGCGGUCUCAUAAGUCGGAUGUGAAAUCCCGGGGCUCAACCCCGGAACUGCAUCCGAUACUGCCAUGCUAGAGGAUUGGAGAGGUAGCUGGAAUUCUUGGUGUAGCAGUGAAAUGCGUGGAGAUCAAGAGGAACACUCGUGGCGAAAGCGAGCUACUGGACAAUAUCUGACGCUGAGGCUCGAAGGCCAGGGUAGCGAAAGGG
RNAcentral lists this ribosomal RNA (253 nucleotides) under uncultured bacterium. Its description in RNAcentral is "partial 16S ribosomal RNA". It matches the Rfam family "Bacterial small subunit ribosomal RNA", at positions 524 to 776 of the family's 1533-position model. The record is from RNAcentral.